RNAcentral lists this ribosomal RNA (466 nucleotides) under uncultured bacterium. RNAcentral describes it as "partial 16S ribosomal RNA". It matches the Rfam family "Bacterial small subunit ribosomal RNA", at positions 330 to 792 of the family's 1533-position model. The record is from RNAcentral.
ACCAGACUCCUACGGGAGGCAGCAGUGAGGAAUAUUGGUCAAUGGGCGGGAGCCUGAACCAGCCAAGUCGCGUGAGGGAAGACGGUCCUACGGAUUGUAAACCUCUUUUGCCGGGGAGCAACGGGGUCCUUGCGAGGGCCCGAUGAGAGUACCCGAAGAAAAAGCAUCGGCUAACUCCGUGCCAGCAGCCGCGGUAAUACGUAUGGUGCAAGCGUUAUCCGGAUUUACUGGGUGUAAAGGGGGCGCAGGCGGCACGGCAAGCCUGAUGUGAAAGCCCGCGGCCCAACCGCGGGACUGCAUUGGGAACUACCGGGCUGGAGUGCCGGAGAGGUAGGCGGAAUUCCUAGUGUAGCGGUGAAAUGCGUAGAUAUUAGGAGGAACACCAGUGGCGAAGGCGGCCUACUGGACGGUGACUGACGCUGAGGCUCGAAAGCGUGGGGAGCAAACAGGAUUAGAUACCCGGGUA